GUCGAGAAUCUUCCGCAAUGCGCGAAAGCGUGACGGAGCGACACCGCGUGAUGGAUGAAGUCCUUCGGGGCGUAAACAUCUUUUAUAAAGGAGGAAAUUUUUGACGUUACUUUAUGAAUAAGGGGCUCCCAAUCUCGUGCCAGCAGGAGCGGUAAUACGAGAGCCUCAAGCGUUAUCCGGAAUCAUUGGGCGUAAAGGGUGCGUAGGUGGUUUGAUUAGUCUCCCGUUAAAACUUCGAGCUUAACUCGAAAAGAGCGGGGGAAACGGUCCAACUAGAGUAUGUGAGAGGUGUGUGGAACUCAUGGUGUAGGGGUGAAAUCCGUUGAUAUCAUGGGGAACACCAAAAGCGAAGGCAGCACACUGGCACAUCACUGACACUGAGGCACGAAACCUAAGGUAGCGAAUGGGAUUAGAAACCCGAGUAGUCC
This 428-nucleotide ribosomal RNA is filed under the name uncultured bacterium. RNAcentral describes it as "partial 16S ribosomal RNA". It matches the Rfam family "Bacterial small subunit ribosomal RNA", at positions 354 to 796 of the family's 1533-position model. The record is from RNAcentral.